RNAcentral lists this ribosomal RNA (503 nucleotides) under uncultured bacterium. RNAcentral describes it as "partial 16S ribosomal RNA". It matches the Rfam family "Bacterial small subunit ribosomal RNA", at positions 30 to 523 of the family's 1533-position model. The record is from RNAcentral.
AUUGAACGCUGGCGGCAGGCUUAACACAUGCAAGUCGAGCGGGGUGAUGGUGCUUGCACUAUCACUUAGCGGCAGACGGGUGAGUAAUGCUUAGGAAUCUGCCUAUUAGUGGGGGACAACAUCUCGAAAGGGAUGCUAAUACCGCAUACGCCCUACGGGAGAAAGCAGGGGAUCCCUUGUGACCUUGCGCUAAUAGAUGAGCCUAAGUCGGAUUAGCUGGUUGGUGGGGGAAAGGCCUACCAAGGCGACGAUCUGUAGGGGGUGUGAGAGGAUGAUCAGCCACACUGGGACUGAGACACGGCCCAGACUCCUACGGGAGGCAGCAGUGGGGAAUAUUGGACAAUGGGGGGAACCCUGAUCCAGCCAUGCCGCGUGUGUGAAGAAGGCCUUAUGGUUGUAAAGCACUUUAAGCGAGGAGGAGGCUCUUUUGGUUAAUACCCAAGAUGAGUGGACGUUACUCGCAGAAUAAGCACCGGCUAACUCUGUGCCAGCCGCCGCCGUAA